GAGCACACAUCUGAAAAAUAGUAUAUCUGCCUUUUAUUUUAGUCCCCAAAGCUAACUUUAAAUGUUACAGAUGUUUAAAUGGAACAGAAAAGAUAAAGAUCCUGAUUUGCUUCUGCUUCAGCAGAUAUUUGAAAACCUACAAGAAGCACAGUGGUAAGUAAAACACCUCUUUCUCUGACCAAGUUACUCCCAUUUGGCUUCUUUGAAAGAUAAAAGAGGAAAAACUUGAAGUCUUUCACUCUAGUUGAAAAAUAAAUAAAUAAAAAAUAAAAAAUCAUCUUGAACAUAUUACCAAAUUUGAGCAAAGACAAGGGCUCAUUCAAGCCCGACGCCUACUUUUUAGCAUAUUCAUAGGCAUGUCUCAUUGAUAGGCUUCCACCCUGAAGCUCACAUUCCCUUUCUCCAACAUCCUCUGCGCCAAGUACUUCUGCAGGCAUUAACAGCUCAACAUGAUUUAAUUACAGAAUUCAACAUCAAAACAUUUCUCAAAUCUUUUCCCAAAAA
Molecule: long non-coding RNA, 504 nt
Organism: Oxyura jamaicensis (ruddy duck)
Lineage: Eukaryota; Metazoa; Chordata; Aves; Anseriformes; Anatidae
Exons: 4
Source: RefSeq, a predicted model, not a curated record